AGCUUUCAAGAAACACGAUGAUGAAACAAAGCUUUGCAAAGAAGACUUCUUCUCUCUCUCAAUCUCCAAAGAACUCAGAAGGGGCCCUUCUUCAUUCAUUGGCCUUCCCUCCACAUGGUGGGACUCAUGUUAACUAUUACAACACAUUCAUCACUUAAACCGAAUUACAAAAAUGAGAGAGAGUGAGAGAGAGAAGGAGUGGGAAAAAGUCCUUGGCCGUGGUCGGAAAAGAAGUCUGCUCCGUUCCAACCUCGAGCGGCGGCUCCGUCGUCCAACACACCCGCCCCAUCGACACCCGCAACACCCGCCCUCACGGCACAUACAAAACCAGCCCUCACGGCAUUACCACAACCCCCCUUCCCGAUUGGAGUAUUAUCGGAACCGGGAGAGCUAUUCUCCUCGGCGUAGUAAGUUCAGGUCAAGACGACCCCCCUCCCCUACCCACCGGAGACAGUUGGGAACCAUUCCGGGAGCUCCGUUGAGAGUUAUAAGAGUUUUUGGAGGUUUCUUGGAAAAAAUGGUGCUGUUUGAGACAUUGCUCUUCCGUUACGACGAGAUGUAAGAGGGAGACGAUUCGGUUUUGUGCGUUUUAAGCCCUCGGAAGACAGUGCAAGGUUGGAUGUGGCGGUCAAAAACCUCGUAAUCGGAAAGAGGAAACUCAUAAUAAAC
This 669-nucleotide long non-coding RNA is filed under the name Lupinus mutabilis. Its description in RNAcentral is "partial ncRNA". Lineage: Eukaryota; Viridiplantae; Streptophyta; Magnoliopsida; Fabales; Fabaceae. The record is from RNAcentral.